CCUACGGGAGGUAGCAGUGGGGGAUAUUGCACAAUGGGGGAAACCCUGAUGCAGCGACGCCGCGUGAGUGAAGAAGUAUUUCGGUAUGUAAAGCACUAUCAGCAGGGAAGAAGAUGACAAUGCUUGUCCCAGAAGCCCCGGCUAACUCCGUGCCAGCAGCCGCGGGAAUACGUAGGGGGCGAGCGUGAUCCGGAUUUACUGGGUGUAAAGGGAGCGUAGACGGUUUGGUAAGUCUGGAGUGAAAGCCCGGGGCCCAACCCCGGGACUGCUUUGGAAACUGGGGAACUGGAGUACAGGAGGGGCAGGCGGAAUUCCUGGUGUAGCGGUGAAAUGCGUAGAGAUCAGGAGGAAUACCGGCGGCGAAGGCGGCCUGCUGGACUGAAACUGACGUUGAGGCUCGAAAGCGUGGGGAGCAAACAGGAUUAGAUACCCUUGUAGUC
This 440-nucleotide ribosomal RNA is filed under the name uncultured bacterium. RNAcentral describes it as "partial 16S ribosomal RNA". It matches the Rfam family "Bacterial small subunit ribosomal RNA", at positions 338 to 795 of the family's 1533-position model. The record is from RNAcentral.